GGGGGCGGUUCCUUCGAGCCAGUAUUUUUAUCAUAGUGUGAGUGGGCUGGGCGUCACCGGCUCAAGAAAGAAGACAGACCCUGUCUUGUUGUUUGCACAGAUAACGCUUCCUGCUUCGCGCGUUUCAAGGUGUGUUCCAAGCUGGGACGAUAGCACAAGCCGCGUGAUCGCGUUCAGACAACAUCGCUUCGCCGGUUCACUGCUAGGAGCAUCGGCAGACGUGGGCUGUGCCGCGAGAAAGCCUUUCUGCUGGACGGAAGCGGCAUUUCUACAAAACAGCAGCGGUGGAGGCCAUGGAUGUGUUUGACGGAGCCUACUUUUGCUGCCUUACAGGUUCUUGCACGGCGGCAACACGGCGAUUUGAGAACUACGAGGCUUUCAGCGCAUCCCUUGAUAUGAAGCCCUUUUUUGCUUCGAGCUUGAACCUGGAUGGGUUGUUUCUCAGCACGGCUGCUAGGGGAUACAAGGCACAACACUGGCUGGGGUACUUGCCAAGGAAUGCUUACGCAUUAAACAAUCAAAGCUGAAAACGCUUUCGAAAGCAAGAAGAUGUCGAAUGGUCAGCCAUUGCACAUGUAGCAGACGACAUCACUGCGAAUGGAGCCAAAGAUAUCACGAAGUAAGCCCACCCAUCACUGCGAACGGAGCCAAGGAAACGAACAUCGCGCCUACUUCCCACCUUGAGAAACAACCGUUGUUUCUGCGGUUGGAUGUGGGAUAUAGGUCUAAAUUCUCUAAAUUCUGCAAAAAUAAAGAAUAACUCAACAAACGGGCAGUGUUACGGUUCAAUCACGCGUAUGUAUUUUAAUGGAACACGAUA
Long non-coding RNA from Dermacentor andersoni, 820 nucleotides. RefSeq lists it as uncharacterized. The record is from RefSeq and is a predicted model, not a curated record. NCBI's taxonomy places the organism in Eukaryota, Metazoa, Arthropoda, Arachnida, Ixodida, Ixodidae.